RNAcentral lists this ribosomal RNA (495 nucleotides) under uncultured bacterium. Its description in RNAcentral is "partial 16S ribosomal RNA". It matches the Rfam family "Bacterial small subunit ribosomal RNA", at positions 28 to 507 of the family's 1533-position model. The record is from RNAcentral.
GACGAACGCUGGCGGCGUGCCUAAUACAUGCAAGUAGAACGCUGAAGGAGGAGCUUGCUUCUCUGGAUGAGUUGCGAACGGGUGAGUAACGCGUAGGUAACCUGCCUGGUAGCGGGGGAUAACUAUUGGAAACGAUAGCUAAUACCGCAUAAGAGUAGAUGUUGCAUGACAUUUGCUUAAAAGGUGCAAUUGCAUCACUACCAGAUGGACCUGCGUUGUAUUAGCUAGUUGGUGGGGUAACGGCUCACCAAGGCGACGAUACAUAGCCGACCUGAGAGGGGGCUCGGCCACACUGGGACUGAGACACGGCCCAGACUCCUACGGGAGGCAGCAGUAGGGAAUCUUCGGCAAUAGCCGGAAGUCUGACCGAGCAACGCCGCGUGAGUGAAGAAGGUUUUCGGAUCGUAAAGCUCUGUUGUAAGAGAAGAACGAGUGUGAGAGUGGAAAGUUCACACUGUGACGGUAUCUUACCAGAAAGGGACGGCUAACUACGUG